UGUCCCUACGCCCUCCUCUCUGCUCUACAGUUGCAGGCUUGAGGAAGGGAAGCUGUGGAAAAUCACAGAAGUGGAGAGAAGAGGCAGCCCCACCAGCCAGGAUGGAGAGAGCAAGGCAGGCACGGCUGCUCCACAGAGAAGUAAGCCAGUGCGUCUUCACGCUGAUGGAAGUACCGCCAGAGUUCCCUGGGAUAGGAACUCCCGUCCCAGCUCCAAUCCUGCAGCAUCUGAUCCAGGGGCCACGUCUCUAGGCUAUGGAACCUCCUGGAAGCAAAGCACUCUGUCCAGCACCUUGAUGGUGGUCUCCUCAUCAGAACCAGCUCCAGGCAGGAGGACAAGGUGAAGGAAGAGCCUAUCCACACUGCCUAGUCUACACCCCAUCUCCUGGGAGUCCCAGCCUGGCCUCCAGGAAGCCAAAGCUCUCUCCAGAGUUUUACCUUGCCAGCCACACUGAGAGGAACGAAAGAAGGGGAAGUAAGAGAACAAAGAAAUAGCCACUUCAAUCUUCCUAAAGUUGCAACUCAAGCCCACGCUCCCACACAUACACACUCACACAGUGGUCCCAUCUCUUAUGGUCUCUAGGACUCUACUUUGUCCUUGACCUGUUUUCAGAAUGCUGCUUCCUUGAACAUGGGGUUGAGUAGGAAGAAGGAAGGGAAGGGAAAUAAGAGAAUUUCCAACCACCUGGUUUGGGAUUGCCUUAGAGAGCUAUUCUGGUGGUACAGGCCCCUGCACACACACACAGACACGUGUAGCCACCAGUGUCUGUGUUUAGGAGAACGCUAAAAGCACUUUGUAUUCUUUUAGGCCAGUGAUUCUGGUCUCUCCCUCCCCAAGGGGAUGUUUGCAAUAUCUGGAGACAUUUUUUGCUGUCCCAGCUGGAGCCAAGCAUGCUACCAGCAUGUGGUGUAGAGAGGUCAGGCAUCCCAAGUGUCCUAGAGCACACAGCCCAACCCCCGCCCCACAGCAGAGACUUCUCUGACCUCAAUGUCAAAUGUGCCAUAGUUGAGGAACCCCGAGAUUUAGGGAAAGAACUCCUUUAGCACUGGUGAGGGGUCAGGGAGACCUAAAGGCACAAGAGGUAGAAUGAAAGAGUGAGAGGGUCUCAAAGUGUGGUAGGCGAGCGAGAGAAAGCAGCCUGCCAUUGAAGACACAAUCCCCACUCGUGUGUUGGAGAGAUGUUUUUGCUCUGUUACUGCCAUAGAGGGAAGACACAGAUUGCCAGGAUGACGAAGGAAGGGGGUAGAAUGUAAGCCUCUGGGUGUCUGCGGGCAGAGGCCAGGUAGAGCCAGGACCACACUGAUCCCUGGUAGUUUCUUCCUAUUUGUUCUUUUACCAGUUCAGCCUUCUUCUAGGCUCUUUUCAAUAUGCUGGGGAAAGCCCUCCUGUUGUCCUCAUUUUGCAGGCAGGAAAUCUAAGGCACAGAGAGGUUGAGUAAGUAGCCCACGGCCACACAGCUGGUAAGAUGCAGAGGCAGGAUUCAAACCAGGUCCGUCUGAUUUGAUGGGUGCUGACCUGACACUUGACCACCAGACUAUGAUGCAGUUCAGUGUGGCAAUCUCAGUUCAUGGAGGCUGACGCCUUCAGAUUAUUAAAGCCAAGAAAAGCAGAUGUUUGAAUCCACUGAGCAUCUCCCCUACAACAUAGCACCAACCCUUGGCUUGGGCCAGGGAGGGCACGACAAGUGGCCAAGCCCUCACAGAUUGCCUUUCACCCCCUUGGCCUCACUGGAAAGCCCAGGCACCACACUAUACCUGCCAGAGAGGACACCAGUUUGAAGGCACAGGAAGGCAAGCUCGUUCCCAAGGACUCUCUCAGUAGUUUUAAGGAAUAAUUGAAACUCGUAGUUGACCCCAACCCUGCAGAGCUGGCACAGGAGGAACACAAGCAUUUUAUAAACGCUCUUGCAGGAGGGGAGGUGAGCUCACUUCCUGAGGGAAUGCCUGCAGGGGGUGUCUGCGGGGGCCAGCCAGGCCUGGCUUUCAAACAUCUGAACCGGCCCACAGUGUAAUAGGGCAUGAAUAUUGAUUCAAAUAAAUUAUGCAUGUUUAUACACUCA
Canis lupus familiaris (dog) is the source of this 2059-nucleotide long non-coding RNA. RefSeq lists it as uncharacterized. Lineage: Eukaryota; Metazoa; Chordata; Mammalia; Carnivora; Canidae. The record is from RefSeq and is a predicted model, not a curated record. The transcript has 2 exons.